RNAcentral lists this ribosomal RNA (253 nucleotides) under uncultured bacterium. RNAcentral's name for it is "partial 16S ribosomal RNA". It matches the Rfam family "Bacterial small subunit ribosomal RNA", at positions 524 to 776 of the family's 1533-position model. The record is from RNAcentral.
UACGUAGGGGGCAAGCGUUGUCCGGAAUCAUUGGGUGUAAAGCGCGUGUAGGCGGCUCGAUAAGUCUGCUGUGAAAGUUCAGGGCUCAACCCUGAAAUGCCGGUGGAAACUGUCGGGCUAGAGUCCGGAAGAGGCGAGUGGAAUUCCUGGUGUAGCGGUGAAAUGCGCAGAUAUCAGGAGGAACACCAAUGGCGAAGGCAGCUCGCUGGGACGGUACUGACGCUGAGACGCGAAAGCGUGGGGAGCAAACAGG